RNAcentral lists this ribosomal RNA (1223 nucleotides) under Brachyspira sp. MMM-29. RNAcentral's name for it is "bacterial SSU rRNA". It matches the Rfam family "Bacterial small subunit ribosomal RNA", at positions 154 to 1395 of the family's 1533-position model. Lineage: Bacteria; Pseudomonadati; Spirochaetota; Spirochaetia; Brachyspirales; Brachyspiraceae. The record is from RNAcentral.
AAACAUGGACUAAUACCGCAUAUACUCUUGCUACAUAAGUGGCGUAGAGGAAAGGAGCAAUCCGCUUUACGAUGAGCCUGCGGCCUAUUAGCCUGUUGGUGGGGUAACGGCCUACCAAAGCUACGAUAGGUAGCCGACCUGAGAGGGUGACCGGCCACAUUGGGACUGAGAUACGGCCCAGACUCCUACGGGAGGCAGCAGCUGAGAAUCUUCCACAAUGGACGAAAGUCUGAUGGAGCGACAUCGCGUGAGGGAUGAAGGCCUUCGGGUUGUAAACCUCGGAAAUUAUCGAAGAAUGAGUGACAGUAGAUAAUGUAAGCCUCGGCUAACUACGUGCCAGCAGCCGCGGUAAUACGUAGGAGGCAAACGUUGCUCGGAUUUACUGGGCGUAAAGGGUGAGUAGGCGGACUUAUAAGUCUAAGGUGAAAGACCGAAGCUCAACUUCGGGAACGCCUCGGAUACUGUAAGUCUUGGAUAUUGUAGGGGAUGAUGGAAUUCUCGGUGUAGCGGUGGAAUGCGCAGAUAUCGAGAGGAACACCUAUAGCGAAGGCAGUCAUCUGGGCAUUUAUCGACGCUGAAUCACGAAAGCUAGGGUAGCAAACAGGCUUAGAUACCCUGGUAGUCCUAGCCGUAAACGUUGUACACUAGGUGCUUCUAUCUAAAUAGGAGUGCCGUAGCUAACGUCUUAAGUGUACCGCCUGAGGAGUAUGCCCGCAAGGGUGAAACUCAAAGAAAUUGACGGGUCCCCGCACAAGUGGUGGAGCAUGUGGUUUAAUUCGAUGAUACGCGAAAAACCUUACCUGGGUUUGAAUUGUAAGAUGAAUGAUUUAGAGAUAAGUCAGACCGCAAGGACGUUUUACAUAGGUGCUGCAUGCCUGUCGUCAGCUCGUGUCGUGAGAUGUUGGGUUAAGUCCCGCAACGAGCGCAACCCUCACCCUUUGUUGCUACCGAGUAAUGUCGGGCACUCUUAGGGGACUGCCUACGUUCAAGUAGGAGGAAGGUGGGGAUGAUGUCAAGUCCUCAUGGCCCUUAUGUCCAGGGCUACACACGUGCUACAAUGGCAAGUACAAAGAGAUGCGAGACCGCGAGGUGGAGCGAAACUCAAAAAAGUUGCCUCAGUUCGGAUUGGAGUCUGAAACUCGACUCCAUGAAGUUGGAAUCACUAGUAAUCGUAGAUCAGAACGCUACGGUGAAUACGUUCCCGGGGAUUGUACACACCGCCC